This 77-nucleotide transfer RNA is filed under the name Lophostoma silvicola (D'Orbigny's round-eared bat). RNAcentral's name for it is "transfer RNA-Ser". The stretch from base 3 to 71 matches the Rfam family "tRNA". From Rfam's summary of the family: Transfer RNA (tRNA) molecules are approximately 80 nucleotides in length. Their secondary structure includes four short double-helical elements and three loops (D, anti-codon, and T loops). Further hydrogen bonds mediate the characteristic L-shaped molecular structure. tRNAs have two regions of fundamental functional importance: the anti-codon, which is responsible for specific mRNA codon recognition, and the 3' end, to which the tRNAs corresponding amino acid is attached (by aminoacyl-tRNA synthetases). tRNAs cope with the degeneracy of the genetic code in two manners: having more than one tRNA (with a specific anti-codon) for a particular amino acid; and 'wobble' base-pairing, i.e. permitting non-standard base-pairing at the 3rd anti-codon position. Lineage: Eukaryota; Metazoa; Chordata; Mammalia; Chiroptera; Phyllostomidae. The record is from RNAcentral.
UGGAGAAAGACAUAAUGGUUAUGGUAUUGGCUUGAAACCAAUUAAAGGGGGUUCGAUUCCUUCCUUUCUUAAUUAUU